This 253-nucleotide ribosomal RNA is filed under the name uncultured prokaryote. Its description in RNAcentral is "partial 16S ribosomal RNA". It matches the Rfam family "Bacterial small subunit ribosomal RNA", at positions 524 to 776 of the family's 1533-position model. The record is from RNAcentral.
GACGUAGGAUGCAAGCGUUGUCCGGAUUUAUUGGGCGUAAAGAGUUCGUAGGCGGUUCGUUAAGUCUGAUGUUAAAGAUCGGGGCUCAACCCUGGGAGUGCAUUGGAUACUGGCGGACUGGAGUGUGGUAGAGGCUAGUGGAAUUCCCAGUGUAGCGGUGAAAUGCGUAGAGAUCGGGAGGAAGGCCGGUGGCGAAGGCGGCGCUCUGGAACAUUUCUGACGCUGAGGCUCGAAAGCGUGGGGAGCAAACAGG